GAAAUCUCGGCUAAGAAAGGACAAGACAAAGUCAACGGGAGUUAGCUCGAAAAUUACGGUUAAGUUAAGGCUAGACUGUUGAAUCAGCAUCCCAGGCCGAUCCCAAAUUCAAUGAGGUAAAGUAUGUUGAGUAUUGAUAAUGGCAUGUACCUAGGAUGUUUAAUGAGACUCAUUUAGGUUGUAAAAGUAUUGAUGAAAUAAGUAAAUUAUGGUUGUCAACGA
This is a long non-coding RNA of Gossypium arboreum, 222 nucleotides long. RefSeq lists it as uncharacterized. NCBI's taxonomy places the organism in Eukaryota, Viridiplantae, Streptophyta, Magnoliopsida, Malvales, Malvaceae. The transcript has 2 exons. The record is from RefSeq and is a predicted model, not a curated record.